RNAcentral lists this ribosomal RNA (581 nucleotides) under Trichoderma asperellum. RNAcentral describes it as "eukaryotic LSU rRNA". The stretch from base 202 to 355 matches the Rfam family "5.8S ribosomal RNA". Lineage: Eukaryota; Fungi; Ascomycota; Sordariomycetes; Hypocreales; Hypocreaceae. The record is from RNAcentral.
ACUGCGGAGGGAUCAUUACCGAGUUUACAACUCCCAAACCCAAUGUGAACGUUACCAAACUGUUGCCUCGGCGGGGUCACGCCCCGGGUGCGUCGCAGCCCCGGAACCAGGCGCCCGCCGGAGGAACCAACCAAACUCUUUCUGUAGUCCCCUCGCGGACGUAUUUCUUACAGCUCUGAGCAAAAAUUCAAAAUGAAUCAAAACUUUCAACAACGGAUCUCUUGGUUCUGGCAUCGAUGAAGAACGCAGCGAAAUGCGAUAAGUAAUGUGAAUUGCAGAAUUCAGUGAAUCAUCGAAUCUUUGAACGCACAUUGCGCCCGCCAGUAUUCUGGCGGGCAUGCCUGUCCGAGCGUCAUUUCAACCCUCGAACCCCUCCGGGGGAUCGGCGUUGGGGAUCGGGACCCCUCACACGGGUGCCGGCCCCGAAAUACAGUGGCGGUCUCGCCGCAGCCUCUCCUGCGCAGUAGUUUGCACAACUCGCACCGGGAGCGCGGCGCGUCCACGUCCGUAAAACACCCAACUUUCUGAAAUGUUGACCUCGGAUCAGGUAGGAAUACCCGCUGAACUUAAGCAUAUCAUAC